AGUGAACGCUGGCCGUAGGCCUAACACAUGCAAGUCUAACGGCAGCACAGUAAGAGCUUGCUCUUACGGGUGGCGAGUGGCGGACGGGUGAGUAAUACAUCGGAAUCUACUUUUUCGUGGGGGAUAACGUAGGGAAACUUACGCUAAUACCGCAUACGACCUACGGGUGAAAGCACGGGAUCUUCGGACCUUGCGCGAUUGAAUGAGCCGAUGUCGGAUUAGCUAGUUGGCGGGGUAAAGGCCCACCAAGGCGACGAUCCGUAGCUGGUCUGAGAGGAUGAUCAGCCACACUGGAACUGAGACACGGUCCAGACUCCUACGGGAGGCAGCAGUGGGGAAUAUUGGACAAUGGGCGCAAGCCUGAUCCAGCCAUACCGCGUGGGUGAAGAAGGCCUUCGGGUUGUAAAGCCCUUUUGUUGGGAAAGAAAAGCAGCAGGUUAAUACCCCGCUGUUCUGACGGUACCCAAAGAAUAAGCACCGGCUAACUUCGUG
This 492-nucleotide ribosomal RNA is filed under the name uncultured bacterium. RNAcentral's name for it is "partial 16S ribosomal RNA". It matches the Rfam family "Bacterial small subunit ribosomal RNA", at positions 29 to 507 of the family's 1533-position model. The record is from RNAcentral.